RNAcentral lists this ribosomal RNA (475 nucleotides) under uncultured bacterium. Its description in RNAcentral is "bacterial SSU rRNA". It matches the Rfam family "Bacterial small subunit ribosomal RNA", at positions 335 to 800 of the family's 1533-position model. The record is from RNAcentral.
ACUCCUACGGGAGGCAGCAGUGGGGAAUAUUGGACAAUGGGGGAAACCCUGAUCCAGCCAUGCCGCGUGUGUGAAGAAGGCCUUCGGGUUGUAAAGCACUUUCAGUGGGGAGGAAAGGUUGAUGGUUAAUACCUAUCAGCUGUGACGUUACCCACAGAAGAAGCACCGGCUAACUCCGUGCCAGCAGCCGCGGUAAUACGGAGGAUCCAAGCGUUAUCCGGAAUCAUUGGGUUUAAAGGGUCCGUAGGUGGAUGAUUAAGUCAGAGGUGAAAGUCUGCAGCUCAACUGUAGAAUUGCCUUUUGAUACUGGUUAUCUUGAGUUAUUAUGAAGUAGUUAGAAUAUGUAGUGUAGCGGUGAAAUGCAUAGAUAUUACAUAGAAUACCAAUUGCGAAGGCAGAUUACUAAUAAUAUACUGACACUGAUGGACGAAAGCGUGGGGAGCGAACAGGAUUAGAUACCCUGGUAGGAUAGCGU